AUGUGACACACCUGCUCCCCUUUUGCCUUCUACCAUGAUGUAAGCUUCCUGAGGCCCUCACCAGAAGCCGAGCAGAUGUUGGUACUGUGCUUAUACAGCCUGCAGAACUGUGAGCCAAAAUAAACCUCUUUAUAAAUUACCCAGCCUCAGGUAUUUCUUUAUAGCAACACAAAAACAAACUAAUAUACCAUCUGUCUACAUUAGUCCAGUUAAUGAUUAUCUUCAUAGUGUGUGAUGUUAUGUAAUUAUAAUCUUAGUAUAUAAUUUUGAAAUUUUUAAAAUUAUAGGCAUCUUUCUAUGUUGCUACAUAGUCAUCACUAUUAUUAUGAUGACAAUGUGGCUCUUUCAUGAUUGUUUCAGAAUGUCUUCCAUACUAGCUAAUUUAAUUUUUGCCAGUCCAAUCCCAUGAAACAAAUUGAAUAGACAUUAUACUAAAUACUUACAAAGGAAAACUACUGGGAAAAUUCAGAGUGAAUUAUUGUUAAAACUGCCUAAAACAAAUUAGGAAACUAAAAUUGAUCCAUAGAUGCAAUUUUAGGUAAUACCCACAGCCAGUUCCCAUGGAUGUGAAAAAGUAAAGGGGGUGGACUAUCCAAGAAUCACUCUCAAACUUGCUAUAAGUACAAAAUCUGAAAUUUUUAUGAGCUUUCAUUUAUUUUUCACAUAAGACAAACAUUUCAUAUACGAUAUAUUUAGUAGCAUUUCUUCAGUCUACAGAGGAGCACUUAAAGUCUGUUCCUCCACCAAUGACUACAUGCCUUUUUAGCAGCUUAUAUGCUUAUUAAUAAUAUGAUGAUUUAGUUUCAGAAGGGGCAUCAUUGUCUUGCCAUAGGUCAAGGUAUGUCUUGCCACUACUAGUUUAUCUUUACUCAUUAUACUGUCUUAUAAUGUCUUACAUGGUGAAUCAAAUCUUUAAAUUCCUGUUGGCUUCUAUUAUUUUCAUCCUUCUUUCCAUAUUCUGUUUUACCAGUGGGCUGUAUCUAGUGAGUGGUAGAGGCAGAAGUAGAAAAGAGCUCUGGCUUUUGAUUCAAGGAUUAAUGUCCCUUUCACUCUUAUCGUGUUGCUUCUUGAACUGUUACUUAUCCUCAAAGUCCAGCUCAAAUGCAGCCUUUUCUGUCCCCAGCCCUUCACAUUGAAAUCAAUUAUUUUCUUUUCUGUGAGAGGUGAAUAGCACUAUAUAUUUAUUCCUCCAUUAUAGUCUUUAGGUCAUUCUGACUUGUAUUAGAAUUGUUCAUAUUAUCUCUUUUACUAGAUUAUAAACUCACUGAGAACACAGAUUGUUUUAUGACAAUGUUGGCAUUAUUGUUUUGCACAUUAACAGUUCAUGUUUAUUGAAUUUAAUAGAUACAACAUCCUGUGAGGAAAACAAAUAUUCUUUCCACUUUACUUACUGCAUUAAGUAAAGUUUAGAGAGAAGUUAAGUGGAUUCCUGGAAAUCACAGGCCUUCUGCAUCUUGUCAGCAUUCUAAUACUGCAUUUGAAAGCACUUUGAGGGGUGUCUCUCUGCUCUGUUCCAAAAGCCCAUGUAAUAUCUUUGAAAUAAAAGAAUAUAUUUGUUUUAAGGAUCUCCAAAAAAGGAGACUUAACAUAUCUAACUUAAAUACCAGGUUUUUAAAAUUUAGCUUACUUUUAACAUAUAUGUACCUGAUCAUUGUAUUCAGAGAGCUUCUCAUAAAUCUUACGGUAUAAAAAGUAAUACAUUUCUUUUCAAAAUAGAAAUAAAUUUUAUAAUAAAUUAACUUUUUGCAUAAUUCUCACUGAUUGGUGUGUUUACAAUCCUUUAGCUAGACAGAAAAGUUCUCCAAGUCUCCACCAACCCAGAAGCCCAGUGGCUUCACCUCUCACUUCCAUGUUUGAAACUUGACCUCCUGAACUUGAAAGUAGCAGUAACAUAUUUUGAUUUUCUGAUGAGAAAUACCAUGAUUUGACCACAGUCAUAGAAGACCUAAAUAAUGUGAAGAGAGUGGUAGAACAAAUAAGAAUAAUAUAUAGUGAAAAUGAGAAAAACGUAAUCCACCUGGAUGUAAUAUAAAUUAGUUCAGUUGAUACACUCUCAUGAAAAAUAGUUUAAAGGUCACCUGUUGCACUUAAAACCCCACUUACUCGAAACUACUAUGUUUUAGGGGAUAUUUUUCUCAAAGAAAAGUUAAUUUUUUUCCUUUUCCUUCUAUAACAUCACAUGUCAUUCCUUUGACUUCUCAUUUUCUUUAGUUUUUUAAGAAAAUUUUUAAAACUCUUGAUUUAUUAAGAUUUUAGAACUCUUGGUAGGCUCUCAAACCAUAAUUUCAUUUUUACCAAUACCUACUCCAGCUUGUAUCUUGCCCCACAAAACAAAGUACUAUUAAUGUAAUUUACAUUAAUGUCUGUUAAUUUGUCUCUAGAAUAUACUUAACCAUUUACAGAUAGAUUUUAUUUAAUACAGAAAUCUGCAGAAAGUACAACAGCUAUAGACUGUAGGU
Molecule: long non-coding RNA, 2459 nt
Filed under: Homo sapiens (human)
Lineage: Eukaryota; Metazoa; Chordata; Mammalia; Primates; Hominidae
Description: non-protein coding lnc-PPA2-5:1
Source: RNAcentral